This 449-nucleotide ribosomal RNA is filed under the name uncultured bacterium. Its description in RNAcentral is "bacterial SSU rRNA". It matches the Rfam family "Bacterial small subunit ribosomal RNA", at positions 29 to 457 of the family's 1533-position model. The record is from RNAcentral.
AACGAACGCUGGCGGCGUGGAUUAGGCAUGCAAGUCGAACGCGAAAGAGGGGGAAACCCCUUUAGUAGAGUGGCGAACGGGUGAGUAACGCGUGAAGAACCUGCCUUCAACAGGGGGAUAACACUCCCAACGGGGUGCUAAUACCGCAUGAGACCACGGAGCUGCAUGGCUCUGAGGUCAAAGGUGGCCUCUAUUUAUAAGCUACCGGGUUGAAGAUGGCUUCGCGUCCCAUUAGCAGUUGGCGGUGUAAAAGACCACCAAGGCGACGAUGGGUAGCUGGUCUGAGAGGAUGACCAGCCACAUUGGGACUGAGACACGGCCCAGACUCCUACGGGAGGCAGCAGUGGGGAAUCUUGCGCAAUGGGCGAAAAGCCUGACGCAGCGACGCCGCGUGUGGGAUGAAGGUCUUCGGAUUUGUAAACCACUGUCGGGAGGGACGAAUGCCCUGC